Molecule: ribosomal RNA, 245 nt
Filed under: uncultured bacterium
Lineage: Bacteria
Description: partial 16S ribosomal RNA
Rfam family: Bacterial small subunit ribosomal RNA
Source: RNAcentral
UACGAACCGUCCAAACGUUAUUCGGAAUUACUGGGCUUAAAGGGUGCGUAGGCGGCCCGGUAAGUUGGGUGUGAAAUCCCUCGGCUCAACCGAGGAAUUGCGCCCAAAACUGUCGGGCUUGAGGGAGAUAGAGGUGAGCGGAACUUAGGGUGGAGCGGUGAAAUGCGUUGAUAUCCUAAGGAACACCGGUGGCGAAAGCGGCUCACUGGGUCUCUUCUGACGCUGAGGCACGAAAGCUAGGGGAG